GGUUUGUUAAGUCAGAUGUGAAAUCCCCGGGCUCAACCUGGGAACUGCAUCUGAUACUGGCAAGCUUGAGUCUCGUAGAGGGGGGUAGAAUUCCAGGUGUAGCGGUGAAAUGCGUAGAGAUCUGGAGGAAUACCGGUGGCGAAGGCGGCCCCCUGGACGAAGACUGACGCUCAGGUGCGAAAGCGUGGGGAGCAAACAGGAUUAGAUACCCUGGUAGUCCACGCCGUAAACGAUGUCGACUUGGAGGUUGUGCCCUUGAGGCGUGGCUUCCGGAGCUAACGCGUUAAGUCGACCGCCUGGGGAGUACGGCCGCAAGGUUAAAACUCAAAUGAAUUGACGGGGGCCCGCACAAGCGGUGGAGCAUGUGGUUUAAUUCGAUGCAACGCGAAGAACC
This 394-nucleotide ribosomal RNA is filed under the name Escherichia coli. Its description in RNAcentral is "bacterial SSU rRNA". It matches the Rfam family "Bacterial small subunit ribosomal RNA", at positions 577 to 970 of the family's 1533-position model. The record is from RNAcentral. Lineage: Bacteria; Pseudomonadati; Pseudomonadota; Gammaproteobacteria; Enterobacterales; Enterobacteriaceae.